This is a long non-coding RNA of Protopterus annectens (West African lungfish), 8875 nucleotides long. RefSeq lists it as uncharacterized. The record is from RefSeq and is a predicted model, not a curated record. Lineage: Eukaryota; Metazoa; Chordata; Ceratodontiformes; Protopteridae. The transcript has 2 exons.
UUCAACAGAAAAUUAAAUGAUGAAAGGCCUAAAUAUACUUGAAUUUACAAUGUGACAGUGAAAGAAUGAAACAUUAACCUGUUUUUUUUUUUUUUUUUAGCAUGCAUCUCUUAAUCAUUUCUUAGGGGUACAGACAACUGAGAACUGCCACCACUUGGAGCAGGUAAUCCCACCAAGUCCGGGCCAAAGUAAUGAGGAUUACAGACUUUCACUUUUUAGAUAUAUUGUUCUAUCAGAGACUAAUCCGCUUGGUCAUAUAACCUCACCCUCACCUUUAGCUAAUAUUUAAAUAUGGCUGACAUUGCCAGCCUGAAGUCUCUCCUUGCAACACAUACUAUAGACAUUAAUUUAUGGACAAAAGCACAUGAGCAGGAUAGCCAAGUAUCCAGUGAACAGCUGAUGUCCACACUAUAGAGAUCAAAACAUUUUAAAGCCUCCGAUGGGAAGUGAAUUUUGUAUUAAGAAGAACUUGAUACCCAAAAGACUGACAAUACAAAAGAAACAUUUUUGCAGCAGUAUUGAAAUGAAUCUGAUGACCAAAUGGAAGGAAGGACCCAGAAACUUUUAAAAUUCUAUUUGAACACAAAAAAAAAAUUACAAUGGAACUCCAUGGAGGAAGUCAUGCACCUAGAAGAAGCCUGCAGCCACAUAGACAACAAAAUCGAACAAUGCCAAGGGAUUACCAACACAACAGAGGAACUUGAAGCAAAGAUCUAGCUGAAAAGAACAAACAAAAUGAAGAGAGAUUUGGAAGAUGAAAAACACUUGAUAGGAAGUUAUGGGCCUAAUGGAUUUCAGCUCACAAGAGAAUUAUCCUAUAAACAAGAUCACAAUAACCAGAAUGCAGCCAUCCAGGCACAAGAAAUACAACAAGUCUCAGCUAUUUAUGUGCCCCACUCCCUCUAUCAAGACCAGGAAAUAAGACACAGACAAACCCUACCUACACACCAACUGUAACAGGAACAGGAUUCUCCCAUGGCUCUCCCCUCUCAUAGCCCAGAAGUAACCUCAGCUAUUACUGCCUCAAAAAAUCCUAUGACUCACAAAAACAAGAACACUCCCAAAGGACACAGCAAUCAUAGCAUGCUGCAGAAUCAUGGCAAACUAGGAUACUAGAAUCCCCAAGAAGCAACUCUCAACAGAAAGACAGAACAUUGCAAGGCAAAAGGGACUUGAAACACCUUUGGAUUCCUCCAGCUGGCAACAUGACACACCAGGAUGACAGAAUAGAAAUAACUACCACAAAUUAAUAUCAUCUGGAACCAUUCAGUUAAACCACUAUAAGAGACAGAAAUCAGCAUACUGGAGAAAGAACUCAACUUUAUACUCCCAGAAAAGGAGCAACCUCACCCAAACUAUCAUCAAUCGGAUGCUAUACAACAGAAAAUAGAACCUUAAAACUCACGUCCACAAUAGACCAACAUACUGCACCUCUAAUACCAUGCUUCCAGUAUGUAAAUGGAAAAAAUGUCAUUUUACCCCCUUAUUGCACACCACCAUUAGCGAAUUUGAAAAUCACCAAAAAGUGCAUAUCAGAGGAAUCCUCCAAGAAAAUACCAAGAGAAAAUUUUACAACAUCUACAAGAAAGAACAUAAAGCACUGAUGAUUCUAAUCAAAGACAAAACCAGGCGAAUUAUGAAAGUGGAUAAAGGAGGUGGGAUCCUAGUAACAGACACCAUGGCCUACAAACAAAAACUGUGCAAUGCUAAAUAACCCCAUCGUUUACGAGACCAGUGACUACAGCAAAAUCAAACUCAACUAUGAAGAACUACUCAGUGAAAUCACUAACCUACACAAAGAAGGCUUGAUCAGCAACAAUCUGCUUGAUUUUCUCACUGUUGAACACUCAAGGCUACCAAUGUUUUUUCUAAAUCCCAAACCACACAAGAAUAGGUUGGAUCUACCUUACAGACUUGUAAUCGCAAGUAGAGGCAGCAUCACUGAACCUAUGUCAGUCUACCUUGAGGUGCAAAUCAAACCUCUAGCCAAAAACAAUAAAUCAUUUAUACGUGACACUUCAGAUCUUAUUUUGACAAUUUGAAACCUCACUGUGGAUGAAAAUGCCUGGCUGGUCACUAUUAACAUACAAGCCCUGUACACUGUUCUACCCCACAAUUAUUGCAUUAGAGCCAUCCUAGAAGCUUACUAAAAAGAGUAGGAAGCCCCCCCAGAAGAACUCAAGGCCAUUAGCAGACUGCUGCAACUACUUCUUAUCAAUAACUACUUCAAAUUUGAUAACCACUUCUUUUGCUAAACUAGAGGUAUAGCAAUGGGUGCAGUUAUGGCCCCGAGUUUGGCCAACACAGCAAUUGGAAAAAGGGAAGAAGAGACCAUCCACACUUCACAAUAUUACCAACACAUGUUUGUUACUAUAGAUUGAUUGAAGACAUCCUGGUCUAUUGGAACAGCAACCUCCAAAAACUUGAAGAAUUCUAUGAUUACAUAAAUAAAUCCACCAACUUCCUAAAAUUUGCAACCUCCCACUGACAGACCUCAAUCAACUUUUUGGACCUUACCAUCAUCAAAUCCCCAACAGGUGAAUUACUUUUGAAUGAUCUUUUCUGAAAACCCACCAGAGUAAAUCUUCUGUUCCACAGAAACAGCAUGCACCCUUUUAGAACUAAAAAAAAAAUCAUCAAAUCCCAAGGCCAAAGGAUAGCCAGAGUCACCAGGGAUCUUUCCACUUUCACAAAAAAAAAUUGUCCAGUUAGAAAAAGACUUUCUAGCCAGGGGAUACAACAACUGACUAAUCCUUCAAACAUUUAAUCCCAUCAUCCAGAGCAAACACAACUCUGACUUCUUGAUGAAUGGAAACAAUCCAUCACACUAUAUCAAAAGAGUCAUUCAACAGAAAGAUAAUGACAAAUGGAACACUCACAUAAAAAAGGCAUAAUGGACAACUGGUGCUUAGUCAUUGAGAACAACAUCCUAAAUGACAUAUUCCCACCCAAACUAGCAUUCACCAUCCAGAGGAACAACAAUAUUCAUGACUACAUUGAUCAAUGCAACCACCUCGGUACAACAUUUAAAAAACAACAACCCCCAGGGACCUUCCCAUGUGGCCCACUGAGCUACAACUAUUGUAAAUUCAUGGAUGGAAAAGCCUUCUUCUACUGCCCAUACAACAAGAAAACCUUUUAGAUCAAUGUUUAUGGCAACUGCUGUACGGACAAAGUCAUAUAAAGCGCUCAAUAUCACAAAUGCAAAGUUUUCUAUGUAGGAAAACUAUAAACAAAUUGAAAACCAGGAUCACACAACACCUCUCUGAUACACGCCAUGGAACCAUCUUCAACAUCAAGGCCAAACAUGCCAGCGACAACCUUGGACAACCAUGUUUAACUUUCUCAUCAUCGACAAGAUGACUGAUCAACCGUUUCAGGGUGACAUCAAUGAAAAACUGGAAAAAAGGAAACAUGAAUGGCAUAUUUGACUUAUGGCAAACAAGCCCCAGGACUUAACUGCACAGUGUCCAUCACUGCAUACUUAACCUUAAGAGACUCAACCACUACAAUUUCUACUGAUCUGGGACUUUCAUUGUUAAAGGCUGUAAAUGUUUUUUUUUCUUUUCUGCAUGUUGCUCUGCUGUUGUUUCAUUUUCUCACAUGUUUAUGAGCAACUAUACAGCUUUUGUUUCUAUUAUUUUUUUGUUUCAUACCAAAUAGCCAUCUGGCACUAUUUACAGCUGGUUCAAACUCCCCCACCACUCUUGCCACUUUAAUGUUUGUAAUAUAAUUCACACUUUAAACCUUCACUCAUUAACAUACCCCUCCUCAUAUUUGUUACUUAUUCACUAAGGCCUUUUUAAUUCUGCUUUCAGACAAAAUAUAAUUCAUGACAUUGUAGAUAUACUAGAUUACUAACUAAAAUCUUUAUCCUCUAAAGACAUUUCGCACAAAAAAAAAAAAACAGAUGGCAGUUCUCAGUUCUACAUCAUGGUGCAUUAUUUUCCCUUAUUGAAUUAAGUACCUUUUCCCCCUAUAGCCAUCCCAUUCCCUUUUUCCAAAGGUGGUUCUGUCCCUGUUACAUAACCACCACCUGCAUGUUCCAUGGGACAAGCUAUUACAGUAUUUAAAUGGUUGGAGGUUUUUAAUUUAUUUAUUUAGGUUGUGGCAAUGCAGACUUGGUAUAGCUAUAAACCUCAUUGUAUACAAGACGGAAUCUCCAAACAUCAGCCUUACCCUUCCACCAUCAUUAUUUUGCAACCACGUGGUCCCACUCUUUUAAACAUUUCCCUUUAAUAUAAUGGUGGAUUUUCAAACAAAACACAGUUAACAACAUUGAAGAUAUGAUGCAUUACUAACUCAUAUAUCUUUAUCCCCAUGACACUUAAGAUGGACAUUCUGCACAGAAACAUAUGGCAAUACUUGUUUCAAUGGUAUGGCACAGUCUUUUCCUUGAGUAUUUUAUGUACUCACUUUUUAUUGUUGCAGCCAUCCCAGUCCAUUACUUUCAUUAAGAUAGUUCUUUCCCCUUUUAACCCCCACCCCCAAAAUGUCCCACAGGGCUAACAAACUUACUUACUUAGACUUAAAUCCUCCCAUGUUACAUAGCAUAUCAGGUAACAAGCAUUCUCCAUCAUUUCCAGUCCUUGGCAGAGAUCUCAGCUUCUUCCCAACUGAUGUUCAGCACCUUUAGGUCUUGUAUGAAUGUUCUUCUCCAAGUGUUCCUUGGGCAUCCUCUUGGUUGUUUGGCAUUGGGAGGUACCCAUGCCAUUGGCAUCUUCAGGAUCUGAUAGUUCUCUACUCAAAGGACAUGGCCGGCCAGUCAAAGUCUUCUGAGAGUGACCAUGUUGUGGAGUUUGCAAGAGCUACUUCUUCAUAGAACCUCUUCAUUUGUGAUAUGAUUGGAGUAUAAGAUCUUGAGAAUUCUGCAUAGGCACCUCUGCUAAAAAAAUCAUGUUUCUUGUUAAUACUUGCUGACAUCUUCCAGGUUUCCCUAGCAUAAAUGGCUGUAGGGAUUGCGAUUGAGGUAAGUAGGUGGAACCUGAUCUUCAGGGAGCUGGAUGACAACAACCAGGUCUUCUUCAUCCUCCUGAAGACUGCUAUUGCCUUGCUGAUGCAGAACUUGACAUCUGCUUCCACAUCUCUGUCUUUGGUGAUCACACUACCCAAGUAGGUGAAUCUAUCAACUUCCUUCAGUUACUUAAGUCAGAUCAUUACUCGCCUCACUUGGGCUGCUGCAUGUAUCUUCAUGAUCUUUGACUUAUCAGUGCUGAUCCUGAGGCCAGUCUUAGUGGCUUCUCAGCUGAGGUUGGUCGUCGCUUCCUGCAGGUUCAUCUCAUCCUGUUUGAGAAAGGCAAUAUCAUCAGAGAAGUCCAGGUCACAGAGGUGAUCUUGAUCAUUCCAGUGGAUACCGGCUCCAAAGCUUGUCCCUGCUUGUCACAUGACAUAGUUAAGAGCAAUGAGGAAGAAGAGCAAGGACAGGAUAAAGCCUUAUCUGACCCCAGUUGUAAUCUCAAAGAACUCCACAUGGCCAUUUUCAGUUUUGACGCAGAAGCUUGAUCGCAAGUACAGAUCUUUGAAGAUGGUAAUGAAGUCUAUUGGUAUGCCAUAGGAACACAGGAUCUGCCAGAGGGACUCUUGAUGGAUGCUGUCAGAAGCUUUCUCAGAAUCAACACAGUUGAUGGCCAGUGAUUUUCACAACUCGACACAUUGUUGUAUGAUGUUCCGGAUGGUGAAGAUUUGUUCGCUGCAUGAUCUUCCACCGUGGAAUCCUGUUUGUUCUUCUAUCGGGCGUUGGUCUAUGGCAUUCUGAAAUCGCUGGAGUAGGACAACACAAAAUGCUUUCCCAGGCACUGAGAGCAGGGUGAUGCCUCACCAAUUGUUGCAUUCAGACGUGUUGCCUUUCUUCUGAAUCAUGACUAUGGCACCUCUCCACCAUUUUUCUCAAAUUAGUCCAGUUUGCUAGCACUUAUGGCCUGACCACCGAUUUUCAUAAACUUAGUGGGUAUUUCAUCCAAGCUGGCUGCCGUGUUAUUUUUGAGGCUUCUGAUCAUGAUGUUUACUUUCUAGAUGUUGAUCGCACCAGUGAUCACUUGUAAAUCCUCCUGAGCCUCAUCCAUCACAAAGUCAUAGGUAGUGUUUGGGUCUGGUCGAGUUAAGGUUUCCCGGAAGAAUACACCUUCCAUUCUGCUCAUCUUUGGUGGUCAGAAGCUUCCUACUUUUAUAUUAGAUUGGGACAUUGGAAUUGUUUUUUACUCCAGUCAACUCAUUGACAAUGUGGUAAAUAGUUUUGGUGUCAUUAUGGUCAGCGGCCUCCUACACUUCAUUUCCCUUUUGCUCCAGCCAUUCCUUCUUAUCUUUCUAACAGCUCUUCUUCAUGAGUUGAUCCAGAUCUUCAAAUUUUUGCCUUUUCUCUUCUCAGCUGUUCAUGUCUGUGGUCUGGUCACUUUUCAUUUUUGUGAUUUUUGUCUUGUAAAUCAGUUUCCAUGUCUGGUCUUGGAUCCAUUUCUCUUUCUGUAGUCCUCAGCAUCUUCUGAUGGCAUCUUGGGCAUACUCUCUGAUGGCAUCUUUGAUGUAAGCCCAGUGGUCUUCAUUGUUCAUCACCUCUCUAAGGAAGUUGAAGCAGUUCUGUAGUUCCCAUGUGAAGGAAUUGGCAGUGGCAAGGUCUUUGAGCUUCUACAUUGCAAAUAGUCGCUUUAGUGUAGGCUGUCUUUGGUUUUGAAGUUUGAGUUUAAUCCUCACCCUGACUAGGUAAUGGUCUGAGCCAAUGUCUGUGUUCCUGAAGACCCUUGCAUCUUGCAAGGAUGACCUCCACUUCUGGCUGAUACAGAGUUAGUCAAUCUCAUUGAAGAUUCACCCAUCUGGUGACAACCAAGUGUUCUUGUGGAUUUGCUGGUGUUGAAAGUAUGUGUUGCAAACACAAAGCCCAUUGUGUUUGCAAAAGGAUACCAGCCAUUCGCCAUUGUUGCUGAGGUGUUCUGAUGACAUGUGGGCUCUCUCUGAUCAUGCCUUCAAAUCCAUGUCAAUCACCUCCCCAUUGGGCGUUGAAGUCUCCAAUCAAGAUCUUCAUGUUGUGGUUUGGGAUGCAGUCAAAGACAAUUUUGAACUGUUCAUAGAAGUAAUCCUUUGUUGCAUCCUCUGUGUUCUACAAUGGCACAUAUACUUGUACGACUGUUGUUUUGGUGUGUCUGCAUAUGAUACAGGCUGUCAUAAUCCGAUUGUUGACAGGUUUCCAACUGACUAGUGCUCUCUUUGCACAUUUACCCAAGAUCAGACCAAAGCCCCAUUUAUGCCUUUCCUCAUGUCUUGCAUACAAGAUGGUCUUGCCAUCCCUGGUGAUUCAUGUAUUUCCUGUCUAUCUGGUUUCAUUAAUGCCCAGAAUGUCCAGUCAAUAAUUAUCAAAUUCUUGCGGUAAUUGAGUGAGUCGUCCAGUUUGAUACAAUGAGUGCACAUUCUGCGUUCCAAUUUUCGUGAUGUUCUUGGAGGAGAAGAUUGCCUUCGACUUCAGGCACCAGACACAAAUAUACAAUGUGUCAUUUUGCUCUUUGACAUUAUGUGGUUCAAAAAUGAUCCCUCCAGUUAACUAAAAAUUGUUGAGAUUCUACUUAUUAUUCCCAUAGUGGUUACGUUUUUUUAUGAGGUCGGUUCGCUAGCCCAACGCUCAACCUUCCUCCUUUCUCAUCCAGGCUUGGGACAUCUUGAAUGUAAUAUAUGUGGUAAGGCUAUACAGACUUUGGUAAAACUAUAAACCACAUUACAUACAAAGACAGAAUCUCCACAUAUUAUCCUUACCCUGGCUUCAUUGUGUUUUUGUAACCACGUGAUCCAUCUCUUCUUUUUUAUAUUGAUAGAUUCUCAAUAGCCAUCCUGGUAUUAGACAAAUCCUCCACAGCAUUUUUUUCAGUUUUCAUUUUGGUUUUAAACAAGAUGCUCCAUUUGGGGGCCUCUAUAGACUGUUCUAUAAACUCACCUUUGAUAAAAUUGAACCUCUACUCACAAUUGUUAUAAACAUGAACGCUUAUAAUCUUGUCCCACUAACUUCAUAUAUGGCUUAUAUUUUCCAGAGUUAACAUAUUAAGUAGUAGAGUUUACCCAUGUUAACCUGUCUAACCUUCACCACUAACAUCUGCUAAAGCUCCCAGUACUAUGCAGUUACAUGGGGAAGUGGGCACUUCAUUCCACCUUUGUUCUUUAAUACAGUAACUAACUAACCAUAACUAGCAGGCAGAUCUGAAGAAACAUAUUAGUGAAAACGUAAGGAGAAAGAGCUGGGAAAUUUUGACUACCCCAUCAAGUUAAUUUUAAAAACAUUAGUUAGGACUUUUGAGUUAAACAUAUGUCCCUAAAGCCAUUUUUAACAUGGAAGCCAUGUGACCCAUGUGAGAACACAGAACCUCGUUAUACAGACGUUCUUCUUUUUCCUACAUAAAAAGACACACAGUACUGGAUAUAAUAAUAAUAAUAAUAAUAAUAAUAAUAAUAAUAAUAAUAAUAAUAAUAUCACUAAUAACAAAUAUACUGUUAAACCUUAAAUUUAGACAUGCAUAUCAAAUUACUAGGGACCUCUUUGAACUAGACUUUAUAUUUCUGGUCCUAUCUCUUUAUUCCAUAACCAAUGACCUGAGCAUGUUAUCCAUGGGCCUUUUAAUUGUUUAUUGUUGUUUUUUAAUGGGAUCUGGGAAAUAAAGUUAAAUAAAAUAAAUCAUGUAAAAAUGAAUUCUAACACAAUGCCAGACAUGAUGCCUUGAAUAAGAAUAUUGAUUUAUGGAUAAUGUCAGUUAUGUAACUACGCCCACUAUGAUGUCAUAACUGUUGCUAAACACGCCUCUAAACACUUGUAUAAAAAAAAACUACACUGACCUUUGAAUUUAUUGUAACUUGAGCUAUGUUUAUCUGUCUGAAAUUCCAACUUGAAUAAAAAGUUUAACCACAA